GUGGGGAAUCUUCCGCAAUGGACGAAAGUCUGACGGAGCAACGCCGCGUGAGUGAUGAAGGUCUUCGGAUUGUAAAGCUCUGUUAAUCGGGACGAAAGAGUUCUGUGUGAAUAAUGCAGAAAAGUGACGGUACCGGAAUAGAAAGCCACGGCUAACUACGUGCCAGCAGCCGCGGUAAUACGUAGGUGGCAAGCGUUGUCCGGAAUUAUUGGGCGUAAAGCGCGCGCAGGCGGCCUAUCCAGUCUGUCUUAAAAGUUCGGGGCUCAACCCCGUGAUGGGAUGGAAACUAGUAGGCUAGAGUAUCGGAGAGGAAAGCGGAAUUCCUAGUGUAGCGGUGAAAUGCGUAGAUAUUAGGAAGAACACCAGUGGCGAAGGCGGCUUUCUGGACGAAAACUGACGCUGAGGCGCGAAAGCCAGGGGAGCGAACGGG
RNAcentral lists this ribosomal RNA (430 nucleotides) under uncultured bacterium. RNAcentral describes it as "bacterial SSU rRNA". It matches the Rfam family "Bacterial small subunit ribosomal RNA", at positions 354 to 776 of the family's 1533-position model. RNAcentral also lists the same sequence under 1 other name. The record is from RNAcentral.